Long non-coding RNA from Oncorhynchus tshawytscha (Chinook salmon), 353 nucleotides. Lineage: Eukaryota; Metazoa; Chordata; Actinopteri; Salmoniformes; Salmonidae. The record is from Ensembl.
CAGGUACCCUAGUGGUUAGAGUGUUGAGGAGGCAGGUAGCCUAUGGUUAGAGUGUAGAGGCGGCAGGGUAGCCUAGUGGUUAGAGGGUAGAGGCGGCAGGGUAGUCUAGUGGUUAGAGUGUAGAGCGACAGGGUAGCCUAGUGGUUAGAGUGUAGAGGCGGCGGGGUAGCCUAGUGGUUAGAGUGUAGAGGCGGCGGGGUAGCCUAGUAGUAAGAGUGUAGAGGCGGCAGGGUAGCCUACUGGUUAGAGUGUAGAGGCGGCAGGGUAGCCUAGUGGUUAGAGUGUAGAGGCGGCAGGGUAGCCUAGUGGUUAGAGUGUUGGGGCGGCAGGGUAGCCUAGUGGUUAGAGUGUAG